GACGAACGCUGGCGGCGUGCUUAACACAUGCAAGUCGAACGGAAAGGCCCUGCUUUUGUGGGGUGCUCGAGUGGCGAACGGGUGAGUAACACGUGAGUAACCUGCCCUUGACUUUGGGAUAACUUCAGGAAACUGGGGCUAAUACCGGAUAGGAGCUCCUGCUGCAUGGUGGGGGUUGGAAAGUUUCGGCGGUUGGGGAUGGACUCGCGGCUUAUCAGCUUGUUGGUGGGGUAGUGGCUUACCAAGGCUUUGACGGGUAGCCGGCCUGAGAGGGUGACCGGCCACAUUGGGACUGAGAUACGGCCCAGACUCCUACGGGAGGCAGCAGUGGGGAAUAUGGCACAAUGGGCGGAAGCCUGAUGCAGCAACGCCGCGUGCGGAAUGACGGCCUUCGGGUUGUAAACCGCUUUCGCCUGUGACGAAGCGUGAGUGACGGUAAUGGGUAAAGAAGCACCGGCUAACUACGUG
RNAcentral lists this ribosomal RNA (468 nucleotides) under uncultured bacterium. Its description in RNAcentral is "partial 16S ribosomal RNA". It matches the Rfam family "Bacterial small subunit ribosomal RNA", at positions 28 to 507 of the family's 1533-position model. The record is from RNAcentral.